UCAGGUAGGGAUACCCGCUGAACUUAAGCAUAUCAAUAAGCGGAGGAAAAGAAACCAACAGGGAUUGCUCUAGUAACGGCGAGUGAAGCAGCAAUAGCUCAAAUUUGAAAUCUGGCGUCUUCGGCGUCCGAGUUGUAAUUUGUAGAGGAUGCUUCUGGGCAGCCACCGACCUAAGUUCCUUGGAACAGGACGUCAUAGAGGGUGAGAAUCCCGUAUGUG
This 219-nucleotide ribosomal RNA is filed under the name Phaeocystis cordata. Its description in RNAcentral is "partial Eukaryotic large subunit ribosomal RNA". It matches the Rfam family "Eukaryotic large subunit ribosomal RNA", at positions 11 to 228 of the family's 3401-position model. The record is from RNAcentral. Lineage: Eukaryota; Haptophyta; Phaeocystales; Phaeocystaceae.